Long non-coding RNA from Vicia villosa (hairy vetch), 783 nucleotides. RefSeq lists it as uncharacterized. Lineage: Eukaryota; Viridiplantae; Streptophyta; Magnoliopsida; Fabales; Fabaceae. The transcript has 4 exons. The record is from RefSeq and is a predicted model, not a curated record.
UUCUUCCUUGGAAACCCAAUCUUACUGUUUGCUUUACUCAACCUGUCUUAUCAUUGCAGCUUCCUCUUUCCCAUGCCUCUUCAAUCUUAGUCUGUCUUUUACUUCCUUCUUCCCCUUUUCUCCCUCCUCAUUUCUCACCAAACUGCGCUUCAUCUUCAUCUUUCCAUUUUCCUCUUCUGUCUUCUAAUCUUCUUCGUUCUUCCUUUUUUUUCUUCUGUCUUCUACGACAUGACUUUAUGAUUUCAAAAACAAAUCUACAUUUGUAAUUAACAAUAUUGCUAACGAAACUCUAGCCGAAGGGAAAAGAAUGGCUCGAAGUCUUCCUAUAGAUGUCAGUUUGCUUUCGUCGCAUUUGUGACCGGCAUCCACCGUUUGGGGUCUAAAUAAUCCACAUCUGCUGAUUCAAUGGUUAUUACGGAGAGGUUGUCCAAGGAAGAAAUUGGUUGUUUAAAAGAGUGUAGAUUUCAAAUUUGGAGUGGCAUGCCCUUUUGAUUGAUAACUCAAAUAACAGGUAAUAGUUAGUUUGGAGUAACUUUGUAAGUUUUAAUUUUAAGCUAUAUUUGAUUGAAUUCUUUAAGGGCUAAUGUGUUAGUUUAUUUUACACUUUCUUUAUUGCACGCAUGGUGUUUGAUAAAAUGUCUCAGCAAAGGAGAAAGGGAGUCGGUGAACGGGCAUAUGGCAACUUAUUUCUUUGUUUCACAAGUUUUAACAAAUGCAGUAAUUUUGUUAAAAUGAGCAUCAAGCACGCGUACGCAUCGAGCAAACAAGGGGAGGUUGUUUAGA